GAAUGCUGACAUAAGUAACGAUAAAGCGGGUGAAAAGCCCGCUCGCCGGAAGACCAAGGGUUCCUGUCCAACGUUAAUCGGGGCAGGGUGAGUCGACCCCUAAGGCGAGGCCGAAAGGCGUAGUCGAUGGGAAACAGGUUAAUAUUCCUGUACUUGGUGUUACUGCGAAGGGGGGACGGAGAAGGCUAUGUUGGCCGGGCGACGGUUGUCCCGGUUUAAGCGUGUAGGCUGGUUUUCCAGGCAAAUCCGGAAAAUCAAGGCUGAGGCGUGAUGACGAGGCACUACGGUGCUGAAGCGACAAAUGCCCUGCUUCCAGGAAAAGCCUCUAAGCAUCAGGUAACAUCAAAUCGUACCCCAAACCGACACAGGUGGUCAGGUAGAGAAUACCAAGGCGCUUGAGAGAACUCGGGUGAAGGAACUAGGCAAAAUGGUGCCGUAACUUCGGGAGAAGGCACGCUGAUAUGUAGGUGAAGCGACUUGCUCGUGGAGCUGAAAUCAGUCGAAGAUACCAGCUGGCUGCAACUGUUUAUUAAAAACACAGCACUGUGCAAACACGAAAGUGGACGUAUACGGUGUGACGCCUGCCCGGUGCCGGAAGGUUAAUUGAUGGGGUUAGCGGUAACGCGAAGCUCUUGAUCGAAGCCCCGGUAAACGGCGGCCGUAACUAUAACGGUCCUAAGGUAGCGAAAUUCCUUGUCGGGUAAGUUCCGACCUGCACGAAUGGCGUAAUGAUGGCCAGGCUGUCUCCACCCGAGACUCAGUGAAAUUGAACUCGCUGUGAAGAUGCAGUGUACCCGCGGCAAGACGGAAAGACCCCGUGAACCUUUACUAUAGCUUGACACUGAACAUUGAGCCUUGAUGUGUAGGAUAGGUGGGAGGCUUUGAAGUGUGGACGCCAGUCUGCAUGGAGCCGACCUUGAAAUACCACCCUUUAAUGUUUGAUGUUCUAACGUGGGCCCCUUACCGGGGUUGCGGACAGUGUCUGGUGGGUAGUUUGACUGGGGCGGUCUCCUCCUAAAGAGUAACGGAGGAGCACGAAGGUUGGCUAAUCCUGGUCGGACAUCAGGAGGUUAGUGCAAUGGCAUAAGCCAGCUUGACUGCGAGCGUGACGGCGCGAGCAGGUGCGAAAGCAGGUCAUAGUGAUCCGGUGGUUCUGAAUGGAAGGGCCAUCGCUCAACGGAUAAAAGGUACUCCGGGGAUAACAGGCUGAUACCGCCCAAGAGUUCAUAUCGACGGCGGUGUUUGGCACCUCGAUGUCGGCUCAUCACAUCCUGGGGCUGAAGUAGGUCCCAAGGGUAUGGCUGUUCGCCAUUUAAAGUGGUACGCGAGCUGGGUUUAGAACGUCGUGAGACAGUUCGGUCCCUAUCUGCCGUGGGCGCUGGAGAACUGAGGGGGGCUGCUCCUAGUACGAGAGGACCGGAGUGGACGCAUCACUGGUGUUCGGGUUGUCAUGCCAAUGGCACUGCCCGGUAGCUAAAUGCGGAAGAGAUAAGUGCUGAAA
This 1501-nucleotide ribosomal RNA is filed under the name Escherichia coli. Its description in RNAcentral is "partial 23S ribosomal RNA". It matches the Rfam family "Bacterial large subunit ribosomal RNA", at positions 1292 to 2776 of the family's 2925-position model. RNAcentral also lists the same sequence under 1 other name. Lineage: Bacteria; Pseudomonadati; Pseudomonadota; Gammaproteobacteria; Enterobacterales; Enterobacteriaceae. The record is from RNAcentral.